AAGUCAUUUCAAAAGGGCUUGUGGGACUGAAACCAGGAGCUCUUAAUGCUAUGACCAAAGCUCGAAGUCCUCCAUAGGAUGACACAGACACAAUUGUGCAGUGCUUUGCUUUUUUCUUGAGGGAGAUACAAAA
This 133-nucleotide small nucleolar RNA is filed under the name Dasypus novemcinctus (nine-banded armadillo). Its description in RNAcentral is "Small nucleolar RNA SNORA25 (ENSDNOG00000030166.1)". Lineage: Eukaryota; Metazoa; Chordata; Mammalia; Cingulata; Dasypodidae. The record is from RNAcentral.